This 253-nucleotide ribosomal RNA is filed under the name uncultured bacterium. RNAcentral's name for it is "partial 16S ribosomal RNA". It matches the Rfam family "Bacterial small subunit ribosomal RNA", at positions 524 to 776 of the family's 1533-position model. The record is from RNAcentral.
UACGGGGGGGGCAAGCGUUGUUCGGAAUUACUGGGCGUAAAGGGCUCGUAGGUGGCCAACUAAGUCAGACGUGAAAUCCCUCGGCUUAACCGGGGAACUGCGUCUGAUACUGGAUGGCUUGAGUUCGGGAGAGGGAUGCGGAAUUCCUGGUGUAGCGGUGAAAUGCGUAGAUAUCAGGAGGAACACCUGUGGUGUAGACAGCUUACUGGACCAUUUCUGACGCUGAGACACGAAAGCGUGGGUAGCAAACAGG